GCGCGCGUAGCUCAAUGGUAGAGUACCACCUUGCCAAGGUGGCUGUUGCUGGUUCAAGUCCAGUCGCGCGCUCCA
RNAcentral lists this transfer RNA (75 nucleotides) under bacterium. RNAcentral describes it as "tRNA-Gly". It matches the Rfam family "tRNA". From Rfam's summary of the family: Transfer RNA (tRNA) molecules are approximately 80 nucleotides in length. Their secondary structure includes four short double-helical elements and three loops (D, anti-codon, and T loops). Further hydrogen bonds mediate the characteristic L-shaped molecular structure. tRNAs have two regions of fundamental functional importance: the anti-codon, which is responsible for specific mRNA codon recognition, and the 3' end, to which the tRNAs corresponding amino acid is attached (by aminoacyl-tRNA synthetases). tRNAs cope with the degeneracy of the genetic code in two manners: having more than one tRNA (with a specific anti-codon) for a particular amino acid; and 'wobble' base-pairing, i.e. permitting non-standard base-pairing at the 3rd anti-codon position. The record is from RNAcentral. RNAcentral also lists the same sequence under 6 other names.